This 490-nucleotide ribosomal RNA is filed under the name uncultured bacterium. Its description in RNAcentral is "bacterial SSU rRNA". It matches the Rfam family "Bacterial small subunit ribosomal RNA", at positions 29 to 494 of the family's 1533-position model. The record is from RNAcentral.
AACUAACGCUGGCGGCGUGCCUAACACGUGCAAGUCGUACGAGAAAGUCGGCUUCGGCUGAUGAGUAAAGUGGCGCACGGGUGAGUAACGCGUGGAUAAUCUGCCCUUGAGUGUGGAAUAACGUACCGAAAGGUGCGCUAAUACCGCAUAAUGCCUGGCAACACAAGUUGUCCGGCCAAAGAAGGCCUCUGUUUACAAGCUUUUGCUCAAGGAUGAGUCCGCGUACCAUUAGCUAGUUGGUGGGGUAACGGCCUACCAAGGCUACGAUGGUUAGCUGGUCUGAGAGGAUGAUCAGCCACACUGGAACUGAGACACGGUCCAGACUCCUACGGGAGGCAGCAGUGAGGAAUAUUGCGCAAUGGGGGCAACCCUGACGCAGCAACGCCGCGUGAGUGAGGAAGGUUUUCGGACUGUAAAGCUCUGUCGAGCGGGAAGAAAUGUACCAUGGCUAAUAUCCAUGAUAUUUGACGGUACCGCUAGAGGAAGCACC